AUUGAACGCUGGCGGCAGGCCUAACACAUGCAAGUCGAACGAGUGGCGGACGGGUGAGUAAUGUUUGGGCAUCUAGCUUAUGGAGGGGGAUAACUACUGGAAACUGUAGCUAAUACCGCGUACCAUCGGAUGUGCCCAAGUGGGAUUAGCUUGUUUGUGAGGUAACGGCUAACCAAGCCGACGAUCUCUAGCUGGUCUGAGAGUAUGACCAGCCACACUGGAACUGAGCCACGGCCCAGACUCCUACGGUAGGCAGCAGUGGGGAAGAUUGCGCAAUGGGGGCAAGCCUGACGCAGCCAUGCCGCGUGUAUGAAGAAGGCCUUCGGGUUGUAAAGUACUUUCAGCGGUGAGGCGUUACCUACAGAAGAAGCACCGGCUAACUCCGUGCCAGCAGCCGCGGUAAUAC
This 406-nucleotide ribosomal RNA is filed under the name uncultured bacterium. RNAcentral describes it as "partial 16S ribosomal RNA". It matches the Rfam family "Bacterial small subunit ribosomal RNA", at positions 30 to 526 of the family's 1533-position model. The record is from RNAcentral.